RNAcentral lists this ribosomal RNA (757 nucleotides) under Salmonella enterica subsp. enterica serovar Braenderup. RNAcentral's name for it is "bacterial SSU rRNA". It matches the Rfam family "Bacterial small subunit ribosomal RNA", at positions 14 to 747 of the family's 1533-position model. Lineage: Bacteria; Pseudomonadati; Pseudomonadota; Gammaproteobacteria; Enterobacterales; Enterobacteriaceae. The record is from RNAcentral.
UGAUCCUGGCUCAGAACGAACGCUGGCGGCAGGCUUAACACAUGCAAGUCGAGCGCCCCUCCUUCAAGCAAGCUUGAAGGUCCUUUGGCCGAAGGCCAGGAAAGAGGAUCAAGAAAGCCGAGCUUUCUUGAUGGAGGGGAGCGGCAGACGGGUGAGUAACGCGUGGGAAUCUACCUAGCUCUACGGAAUAACCCAGGGAAACUUGGACUAAUACCGUAUACGUCCGAGAGGAGAAAGAUUUAUCGGAGUUAGAUGAGCCCGCGUUGGAUUAGCUAGUUGGUGGGGUAAAGGCCUACCAAGGCGACGAUCCAUAGCUGGUCUGAGAGGAUGAUCAGCCACACUGGGACUGAGACACGGCCCAGACUCCUACGGGAGGCAGCAGUGGGGAAUAUUGGACAAUGGGCGCAAGCCUGAUCCAGCCAUGCCGCGUGAGUGAUGACGGCCUUAGGGUUGUAAAGCUCUUUCAACGGUGAAGAUAAUGACGGUAACCGUAGAAGAAGCCCCGGCUAACUUCGUGCCAGCAGCCGCGGUAAUACGAAGGGGGCUAGCGUUGUUCGGAAUUACUGGGCGUAAAGCGCACGUAGGCGGAUACUUAAGUCAGGGGUGAAAUCCCGGGGCUCAACCCCGGAACUGCCUUUGAUACUGGGUAUCUAGAGUAUGGUAGAGGUGAGUGGAAUUCCGAGUGUAGAGGUGAAAUUCGUAGAUAUUCGGAGGAACACCAGUGGCGAAGGCGGCUCACUGGACCAUUACUGACGCU